GGUCACGUGUGGAGAGAUUUUAUUUGGACAAGGAAUAAAACUGGAAAAUGAAGCACUCAACAUGUGGGAUGUACAGAAGGCCAAUACAGUUCUGUGUCUGUUAAGUGCUACAUUGGCUAUAAGUCUGAUUGUUAUUGUCGUCCUGAUCCAGGAGAAAAUGUGUGAUUGUUACAAAGCCGGAGACUCUUUACAAACAGAGGCUGCAGCAGUCGGUUGUAAUCCGCCAAGUCAGCAGAGACACAAGGACUCAUUGGUGUAUACAACAGCAACCUUCAGCAGGAGGAAGGCUGGCAAAAC
This is a long non-coding RNA of Limanda limanda (common dab), 297 nucleotides long. RefSeq lists it as uncharacterized. Lineage: Eukaryota; Metazoa; Chordata; Actinopteri; Pleuronectiformes; Pleuronectidae. The transcript is spliced from 4 exons. The record is from RefSeq and is a predicted model, not a curated record.